GCUUGGGUGGCUCAGUCGGUGAAGCGUCUGACUUCGGCUCAGGAUAUGAUCUCACGGUUCGUGGGUUCGAGCCCCGCGUCGGGCU
RNAcentral lists this transfer RNA (85 nucleotides) under Felis catus (domestic cat). It matches the Rfam family "tRNA". Rfam says of the family: Transfer RNA (tRNA) molecules are approximately 80 nucleotides in length. The record is from Rfam by way of RNAcentral. Lineage: Eukaryota; Metazoa; Chordata; Mammalia; Carnivora; Felidae.